This 684-nucleotide ribosomal RNA is filed under the name bacterium xpnta237lb78onp9.24dc. RNAcentral describes it as "bacterial SSU rRNA". It matches the Rfam family "Bacterial small subunit ribosomal RNA", at positions 51 to 719 of the family's 1533-position model. The record is from RNAcentral.
AUACAUGCAGUCGAGCGGAUCUUUGGGAGCUUGCUCCCAAAGAUUAGCGGCGGACGGGUGAGUAACACGUGGGCAACCUGCCUAUGAGACUGGGAUAACUCCGGGAAACCGGGGCUAAUACCGGAUAAUUCUUUUCUACACAUGUAGAAAAGCUGAAAGAUGGUUUCGGCUAUCACUCAUAGAUGGGCCCGCGGCGCAUUAGCUAGUUGGUGAGGUAACGGCUCACCAAGGCGACGAUGCGUAGCCGACCUGAGAGGGUGAUCGGCCACACUGGGACUGAGACACGGCCCAGACUCCUACGGGAGGCAGCAGUAGGGAAUCUUCCGCAAUGGACGAAAGUCUGACGGAGCAACGCCGCGUGAGUGAUGAAGGUUUUCGGAUCGUAAAACUCUGUUGUUAGGGAAGAACAAGUACCGGAGUAACUGCCGGUACCUUGACGGUACCUAACCAGAAAGCCACGGCUAACUACGUGCCAGCAGCCGCGGUAAUACGUAGGUGGCAAGCGUUGUCCGGAAUUAUUGGGCGUAAAGCGCGCGCAGGUGGUCUCUUAAGUCUGAUGUGAAAGCCCCCGGCUCAACCGGGGAGGGUCAUUGGAAACUGGGAGACUUGAGUGCAGGAGAGAAGAGUGGAAUUCCACGUGUAGCGGUGAAAUGCGUAGAGAUGUGGAGGAACACCAGUGGCGAA